AGCAGCAGCCGCGGUAAUACGUAGGGUGCGAGCGUUAAUCGGAAUUACUGGGCGUAAGGCGUGCGCAGGCGGCUAUGCAAGACAGAUGUGAAAUCCCCGGGCUCAACCUGGGAACUGCAUUUGUGACUGCAUGGCUAGAGUACGGUAGAGGGGGAUGGAAUUCCGCGUGUAGCAGUGAAAUGCGUAGAUAUGCGGAGGAACACCGAUGGCGAAGGCAAUCCCCUGGACCUGUACUGACGCUCAUGCAUGAAAGCGUGGGGAGCAAACAGGAUUAGAUACCCCGGUAGUCCCUGUCUCUUAUAC
This 303-nucleotide ribosomal RNA is filed under the name uncultured bacterium. RNAcentral describes it as "partial 16S ribosomal RNA". It matches the Rfam family "Bacterial small subunit ribosomal RNA", at positions 507 to 807 of the family's 1533-position model. The record is from RNAcentral.